GACGAACGCUGGCGGCGUGCUUAACACAUGCAAGUCGAACGGAAAGGCCCUGCUUUUGUGGUGUGCUCGAGUGGCGAACGGGUGAGUAACACGUGAGUAACCUGCCCCUGACUUUGGGAUAACUUCAGGAAACUGGGGCUAAUACCGGAUAGGAGCUCCUGCUGCAUGGUGGGGGUUGGAAAUUUUCGUCGGGUGGGGAUGGACUCGCGGCUUAUCAGCUUGUUGGGGGGGUAGCGGCUUACCAAGGCUUUGGCGGGUGGCCGGCCUGGGAGGGUGACCGGCCACAUGGGGACUGAGAUACGGCCAAGACUCCUCCGGGAGGAAGAAGUGGGGAAUAUUGCACAAUGGGCGGAAGCCUGAGGAAGCAACGCCGGGUGCGGGAUGACGGCCUUGGGGUUGUAAACCGCUUUCGCCUGUGACGAGGCGUGAGUGACGGUAAUGGGUAAAGAAGCACCGGCUAACUACGUG
RNAcentral lists this ribosomal RNA (468 nucleotides) under uncultured bacterium. RNAcentral's name for it is "partial 16S ribosomal RNA". It matches the Rfam family "Bacterial small subunit ribosomal RNA", at positions 28 to 507 of the family's 1533-position model. The record is from RNAcentral.